This 68-nucleotide transfer RNA is filed under the name Marmota monax (woodchuck). RNAcentral's name for it is "tRNA.Ala". The record is from RNAcentral. Lineage: Eukaryota; Metazoa; Chordata; Mammalia; Rodentia; Sciuridae.
GGAUUGUGGCUAAGUGGUAGAGUACUCGCCUAGCAUGCAUGAGGUACUGGGUUCGAUCCUCAGCACCA